RNAcentral lists this unclassified non-coding RNA (336 nucleotides) under soil metagenome. RNAcentral describes it as "partial contains 5.8S ribosomal RNA, internal transcribed spacer 2, and large subunit ribosomal RNA". The stretch from base 1 to 120 matches the Rfam family "5.8S ribosomal RNA", at positions 35 to 154 of the family's 154-position model. The record is from RNAcentral.
GAUGAAGAACGUAGCGAAAUGCGAUAAGUAGUGUGAAUUGCAGAAUUCAGUGAAUCAUCGAAUCUUUGAACGCACAUUGCGCCCCUUGGUAUUCCAUGGGGCAUGCCUGUUCGAGCGUCAUUUGUACCCUCAAGCUAAGCUUGGUGUUGGGUGUUUGUCCACUCCCUCGUGUUUGGACUCGCCUUAAAACAAUUGGCAGCCAGUGUUUUGGUAUUGAAGCGCAGCACAAUUUGCGAUUCUAGCCUAGAAUACUAGCAUCCAUCAAGUCAUUUUUAACGCUUGACCUCGGAUCAGGUAGGGAUACCCGCUGAACUUAAGCAUAUAAUAAGCGGAGGA